CUACGGGGCGCUGCAGGGGCGAAUCAUUUGCAAUGCACGCAAGUGCGACAAUGCGAACCAAAGUGUCUUUUCGAUAAAGAAAAGACUUUUCUCCGCUCUAAAAAGGCGGGGGAAUAAGAACUGGGAAAGACCGGUGCCAGCCGCCGCGGUAAUACCGGCAGUUCAAGUCGCAUCCACGUUUAUUGGGUCUAAAACAUCCGUAGCUUGUAGUUUAAGUCCUUUGUGAAAUCCUAUGUCUCAAGCAUAGGGCGUGCGGAGGAUACUGGACUGCUAGGGAUCGGUAGACGUAAGGAGUACGUUUGAGGUAGUGGUUAAAUACGUUAAUCUUAAGCGGACUAACAAUUAGCGAAGGCACCUUACGAGGACGAAUCUGACAGUGAGGGAUGAAGGCCAGGGGCGCAAAACGGAUUAGAUACCCCGGUAGUC
RNAcentral lists this ribosomal RNA (426 nucleotides) under uncultured archaeon. RNAcentral's name for it is "partial 16S ribosomal RNA". It matches the Rfam family "Archaeal small subunit ribosomal RNA", at positions 323 to 746 of the family's 1478-position model. The record is from RNAcentral.